GACGAACGCUGGCGGCGUGCCUAAUACAUGCAAGUAGAACGCUGAAGGAGGAGCUUGCUUCUCUGGAUGAGUUGCGAACGGGUGAGUAACGCGUAGGUAACCUGCCUGGUAGCGGGGGAUAACUAUUGGAAACGAUAGCUAAUACCGCAUAAUAGCAGUUGUUGCAUGACAACUGUUUGAAAGGUGCAAAUGCAUCACUACCAGAUGGACCUGCGUUGUAUUAGCUAGUUGGUGGGGUAAAGGCUCACCAAGGCGACGAUACAUAGCCGACCUGAGAGGGUGAUCGGCCACACUGGGACUGAGACACGGCCCAGACUCCUACGGGAGGCAGCAGUAGGGAAUCUUCGGCAAUGGACGGAAGUCUGACCGAGCAACGCCGCGUGAGUGAAGAAGGUUUUCGGAUCGUAAAGCUCUGUUGUAAGAGAAGAACGAGUGUGAGAGUGGAAAGUUCACACUGUGACGGUAUCUUACCAGAAAGGGACGGCUAACUACG
RNAcentral lists this ribosomal RNA (493 nucleotides) under uncultured bacterium. RNAcentral describes it as "partial 16S ribosomal RNA". It matches the Rfam family "Bacterial small subunit ribosomal RNA", at positions 28 to 505 of the family's 1533-position model. The record is from RNAcentral.